GCCCCCCGCUUACACCGGGAAGAUAUCCGUGCAACCCAGAUCAUUUUGA
RNAcentral lists this transfer RNA (49 nucleotides) under Polypedates leucomystax (Java whipping frog). RNAcentral's name for it is "partial tRNA-Val". Lineage: Eukaryota; Metazoa; Chordata; Amphibia; Anura; Rhacophoridae. The record is from RNAcentral.